This 258-nucleotide ribosomal RNA is filed under the name Vairimorpha apis. RNAcentral describes it as "Nosema apis partial small subunit ribosomal RNA". The stretch from base 1 to 223 matches the Rfam family "Microsporidia small subunit ribosomal RNA", at positions 107 to 334 of the family's 1311-position model. Lineage: Eukaryota; Fungi; Microsporidia; Nosematidae. The record is from RNAcentral.
UUGAUGUACAUUAUACAUAACUACGUUCAGUGUAGCUACAUAUGUACAGUAAGAGUGAGACCUAUCAGCUAGUUGUUAAGGUAAUGGCUUAACAAGGCAAUAACGGGUAACGGUAUUACUUUGUAAUAUUCCGGAGAAGGAGCCUGAGAGACGGCUACUAAGUCUAAGGAUUGCAGCAGGGGCGAAACUUGACCUAUGGAUAUUAUCUGAGGCAGUUAUGGGAAGUAACAUAGUUGUUUCACAUUUUAAACGCCCCCC